GAGCACGUAGGUGGGUUUGUAAGUCAGACGUGAAAGCCUUCUGUUCAACGGAAGAAUUGCAUCUGAAACUACAAACCUUGAGUGUAGGAGGGGAGAAUGGAACUUCUGGUGGAGCGGUGAAAUGCGUAGAUAUCAGAAGGAACGCCGGCGGCGAAAGCGAUUCUCUGGCCUAUUACUGACACUCAGUGUGCGAAAGCUAGGGGAGCAAACGGGAUUAGAUACCCCGGUAGUCCUAGCCGUAAGCGAUGGGCACUAAGUAGAGGGGUU
RNAcentral lists this ribosomal RNA (267 nucleotides) under uncultured Planctomycetota bacterium. RNAcentral describes it as "uncultured planctomycete partial 16S ribosomal RNA". It matches the Rfam family "Bacterial small subunit ribosomal RNA", at positions 565 to 830 of the family's 1533-position model. Lineage: Bacteria; Pseudomonadati; Planctomycetota. The record is from RNAcentral.